CCCUACGGGUGGCAGCAGUGAGGAAUAUUGGUCAAUGGACGAGAGUCUGAACCAGCCAAGUAGCGUGAAGGAUGACUGCCCUAUGGGUUGUAAACUUCUUUUAUAAAGGAAUAAAACGAGGCACGUGUGCCUUUUUGCAUGUACUUUAUGAAUAAGGAUCGGCUAACUCCGUGCCAGCAGCCGCGGUAAUACGGAGGAUCCGAGCGUUAUCCGGAUUUAUUGGGUUUAAAGGGAGCGUAGAUGGGUUGUUAAGUCAGUUGUGAAAGUUUGCGGCUCAACCGUAAAAUUGCAAUUGAUACUGGCAGUCUUGAGUACAGUUGAGGUAGGCGGAAUUCGUGGUGUAGCGGUGAAAUGCUUAGAUAUCACGAAGAACCCCGAUUGCGAAGGCAGCUUACUAAACUGUGACUGACAUUGAUGCUCGAAAGUGUGGGCAUCAAACAGGAUUAGAUACCCCAGUAGUC
RNAcentral lists this ribosomal RNA (461 nucleotides) under uncultured bacterium. Its description in RNAcentral is "partial 16S ribosomal RNA". It matches the Rfam family "Bacterial small subunit ribosomal RNA", at positions 337 to 795 of the family's 1533-position model. The record is from RNAcentral.